Molecule: long non-coding RNA, 374 nt
Organism: Bactrocera dorsalis (oriental fruit fly)
Lineage: Eukaryota; Metazoa; Arthropoda; Insecta; Diptera; Tephritidae
Exons: 4
Source: RefSeq, a predicted model, not a curated record
GAUUUCUUGAUAAACCGCCCUGCAAGACGGAGGUAACAGAUUGCACAAACACAUUGAAACAUUUUCAGCUGUUCACUAACACUGUUACAUUUUCUGGAAUUUUCAAUGGAAUGGGAGAAUACGAGAGGCGAAUACCCAAUAUUUCAAGAAGAAUAAACGAAAAGCGCAGUUUAUUUUGGAUUUUAAAGAGAGAAAACGAAAGAGGUUAACAAGGAGAAAAAGAAAUCAUUUGGACCAUUGGUAAAAUUCAAAUCUAUUGCGUGCAGCAACCAAAUAAUGGAGUAUGUUUUAAAUUAUUAAAGUUAAAUAGUGUAUAUUUAUUUCAAAUAUUUGUUAUAGAUUGUGCAUUUUAUUUUGAUUUUAUUAUUAAAUAA